RNAcentral lists this ribosomal RNA (330 nucleotides) under uncultured bacterium. Its description in RNAcentral is "bacterial SSU rRNA". It matches the Rfam family "Bacterial small subunit ribosomal RNA", at positions 28 to 359 of the family's 1533-position model. The record is from RNAcentral.
GAUUAACGCUAGCGGCAGGCCUAAUACAUGCAAGUCGAACGGUAACAGGAUAGCAAUAUCGCUGACGAGUGGCGCACGGGUGCUUAACACGUAUGCAACCUACCUAUAACUGGGGAAUAGCUCACCGAAAGGUGAAUUAACACCGCAUAAAAUCACAGAAGGACAUCCUUUAAUGAUUAAAUCUCCGGAGGUUAUAGAUGGGCAUGCGCCCGAUUAGCUAGUUGGCGGGGUAACAGCCCACCAAGGCAACGAUCGGUAGGGGUCUGAGAGGAUGAUCCCCACACUGGUACUGAGACACGGACCAGACUCCUACGGGAGGCAGCAGUAAGG